CCCAAGUGUAUGUUAAGUGGAAAAGGAUGUGGCGCUGCCUAGACAGCUAGGAUGUUGGCUUAGAAGCAGCCACCAUUCAAAGAGUGCGUAAUAGCUCACUAGUCGAGUGGCGCCGCGCCGAAAAUGUAACGGGGCUAAACAUACCACCGAAGCUGCGGAUUCCGUAAGGAAUGGUAGGGGAGCGUUCCAAACCGCUGUGAAGCUGUACCGGAAGGAGCAGUGGAGCGUUUGGAAGUGAGAAUGCCGGUGUGAGUAGCGAAAAGAGGGGUGAGAAUCCCCUCCGUCGAAAGCCCAAGGUUUCCUGAGGAAGGCUCGUCCGCUCAGGGUUAGUCUGGACCUAAGCCGAGGCCGAAAGGCGUAGGCGAUGGAUAACAGGUUGAUAUUCCUGUACCGCCGAUCCACCGUUUGAACAAUGGGGGGACGCAGGAGGAUAGUGACGCAUGCGGAUGGAAGUGCAUGUGCAAGUUUCAAGACCGUCUGAUUGGCAAAUCCGUCAGGCAUCACAGU
Molecule: ribosomal RNA, 507 nt
Filed under: Salmonella enterica subsp. enterica serovar Enteritidis str. P125109
Lineage: Bacteria; Pseudomonadati; Pseudomonadota; Gammaproteobacteria; Enterobacterales; Enterobacteriaceae
Description: partial 23S ribosomal RNA
Rfam family: Bacterial large subunit ribosomal RNA
Source: RNAcentral